RNAcentral lists this small RNA (24 nucleotides) under Arabidopsis thaliana (thale cress). RNAcentral describes it as "ATSL215080". The record is from RNAcentral. Lineage: Eukaryota; Viridiplantae; Streptophyta; Magnoliopsida; Brassicales; Brassicaceae.
GUCUACAAUCUUUCAAAUGCUUAC